RNAcentral lists this long non-coding RNA (650 nucleotides) under Physcomitrium patens. RNAcentral's name for it is "long non-coding RNA (PPAT_LNC014507)". The record is from RNAcentral. Lineage: Eukaryota; Viridiplantae; Streptophyta; Bryopsida; Funariales; Funariaceae.
UUUGAUCAUCAAUUAACUUUCUUUGUUAAAAUUGAAACUUGCGAAAUAGCUAGUCAGGAACAUGUACAACAUCGUGAAGUCUUAUUGAUAAUCUCUUAUAAACUUGAAGCUAGAGAAGCACAGUCAAUCCCCACAUUCCUCUCAUGCUACAGCUUGUCGAAGACGAAAUACAUUACAAGUUAAUAGUAUCCUUCAAUAUGUCUUAUAGAAAAAUGUUCGGAUACUUGCUGGCUCAGAGUAGAUAACGAAGCAACCAGCAUGCUGGUAAAUCUCUGAUACUCCCAUGUGUUUCAGUUCCUCUAUUAGUGGGGAAAGCACGGUAUACAAAAUGCCACAAUUGAAAUACGCACAAAUCUAUCAACGUAACUCCCAUCAGGCCAGACUGAAGAAUAUUUCUGUUGUUGCACACAGUUUAUCACUGGGGUAUUGGAGCUCUCAGUACUUGAUUUACUCGUCAUAACACACAACUAACAGAAUAAAAGACCAGAUAUAUAUUUCCAGCGGCUACAUCAUUCGUAGCACACGCAGAUAAUUGAGACUCUGAAAACUCCAAUUCUCGGAUCUAUGAAAACCGACUGCGGUAAAUUCCGUUUGUUUGAAUUUAGUUUUUCCUUCCCUCGGCCAAGAUGAUGUGAUACCCAUGCCUAUUA